GCUGGGAGCUUCUUCUUCUUUUGUAG
This 26-nucleotide non-coding RNA is filed under the name Cricetulus griseus (Chinese hamster). Lineage: Eukaryota; Metazoa; Chordata; Mammalia; Rodentia; Cricetidae. The record is from RNAcentral.